RNAcentral lists this ribosomal RNA (253 nucleotides) under uncultured bacterium. Its description in RNAcentral is "partial 16S ribosomal RNA". It matches the Rfam family "Bacterial small subunit ribosomal RNA", at positions 524 to 776 of the family's 1533-position model. The record is from RNAcentral.
UACGGAGGGGGCUAGCGUUGUUCGGAAUUACUGGGCGUAAAGCGCACGUAGGCGGCUUUGUAAGUUAGAGGUGAAAGCCUGAUGCUUAACAUCAGAACUGCCUUUAAGACUGCAUCGCUUGAACGUCGGAGAGGUGAGUGGAAUUCCGAGUGUAGAGGUGAAAUUCGUAGAUAUUCGGAAGAACACCAGUGGCGAAGGCGGCUCACUGGACGACUGUUGACGCUGAGGUGCGAAAGCGUGGGGAGCAAACAGG